GUUAUUCACAAGUGGCUCCAGUCUGGUUUGGGGGUCUACGCUUUCUCAUCCUGUCCUGCCACCCAAGUGAAGUUAUUCACAAGUGGCUCCAGUCUGGUUUGGGGGUCUACGCUUUCUCAUCCUGUCCUGCCACCCAAGUGAAGUUAUUCACAAGUGGCUCCAGUCUGGUUUGGGGGUCUACGCUUUCUCAUCCUGUCCUGAGUGAUUCUUGACAUUGAAAUUAUAUCAAAAUUUGUCAAUAAAUGUUCAUACUUUUGUCAUUAA
Long non-coding RNA from Sardina pilchardus (European sardine), 264 nucleotides. RefSeq lists it as uncharacterized. The transcript has 3 exons. The record is from RefSeq and is a predicted model, not a curated record. NCBI's taxonomy places the organism in Eukaryota, Metazoa, Chordata, Actinopteri, Clupeiformes, Clupeidae.